GGCAGUUCUUGGGUGACGCACCCCAGAAUUAGGCCCCCUCCUCUCUGGUUCUGGGUGCAUCACCCGAGAACCACA
Molecule: non-coding RNA, 75 nt
Organism: Myotis davidii
Lineage: Eukaryota; Metazoa; Chordata; Mammalia; Chiroptera; Vespertilionidae
Source: Rfam